Molecule: ribosomal RNA, 2880 nt
Filed under: Stenotrophomonas maltophilia
Lineage: Bacteria; Pseudomonadati; Pseudomonadota; Gammaproteobacteria; Lysobacterales; Lysobacteraceae
Also listed under: 1 other name
Description: 23S ribosomal RNA
Rfam family: Bacterial large subunit ribosomal RNA
Source: RNAcentral
GGUCAAGCGAAUAAGCGCACACGGUGGAUGCCUUGGCGGUCAGAGGCGAUGAAGGACGUGGCAGCCUGCGAAAAGUAUCGGGGAGCUGGCAACAAGCUUUGAUCCGGUAAUGUCCGAAUGGGGAAACCCACCCGCUUGCGGGUAUCCUGCAGUGAAUACAUAGCUGCUGGAAGCGAACCUGGUGAACUGAAAUAUCUAAGUAACCAGAGGAAAAGAAAUCAACCGAGAUUCCGUAAGUAGCGACGAGCGAACGCGGACUAGCCCUUAAGCUGGAUUGGUUCUAGGAAAACGCUCUGGAAAGAGCGGCCAUAGAAGGUGAUAGCCCUGUAUCUGAAAGGGCCAUUCCAGUGAAGACGAGUAGGGCGGGGCACGUGAAACCCUGUCUGAACAUGGGGGGACCAUCCUCCAAGGCUAAAUACUACUGACCGACCGAUAGUGAACCAGUACCGUGAGGGAAAGGCGAAAAGAACCCCGGAGAGGGGAGUGAAAUAGAACCUGAAACCGUGUGCGUACAAGCAGUAGGAGCUCCGCAAGGAGUGACUGCGUACCUUUUGUAUAAUGGGUCAGCGACUUACUGUUCGUGGCAAGCUUAACCGUAUAGGGGAGGCGAAGGGAAACCGAGUCUGAUAAGGGCGCAUAGUCGCGGGCAGUAGACCCGAAACCGGGUGAUCUAGUCAUGCCCAGGGUGAAGGUGCGGUAACACGCACUGGAGGCCCGAACCCACUCCCGUUGCAAAGGUAGGGGAUGAGGUGUGAUUAGGAGUGAAAAGCUAAUCGAACCCGGAGAUAGCUGGUUCUCCUCGAAAGCUAUUUAGGUAGCGCCUCAUAUGUAUCCUCUCGGGGGUAGAGCACUGUUAUGGCUAGGGGGUCAUCGCGACUUACCAAACCAUUGCAAACUCCGAAUACCGAGACGGACUGUAUGGGAGACACACGGCGGGUGCUAACGUCCGUCGUGAAAAGGGAAACAACCCAGACCCACAGCUAAGGUCCCAAAUUUUGUGCUAAGUGGAAAACCAUGUGGAAAGGCACAGACAGCCAGGAGGUUGGCUUAGAAGCAGCCACCCUUUAAAGAAAGCGUAAUAGCUCACUGGUCGAGUCGGUCUGCGGGGAAGAUUUAACGGGGCUAAGCACAGAACCGAAGCUUGGGGUGCAUAACUUUGUUAUGCGCGGUAGAGGAGCGUUCCGUAAGCCGUUGAAGGUGGAUUGAGAAGUCUGCUGGAGGUAUCGGAAGUGCGAAUGCUGACAUGAGUAACGAUAAUGCGGGUGAAAAACCCGCACGCCGAAAGCCCAAGGUUUCCUUGCGCAACGUUAAUCGGCGCAGGGUGAGUCGGCCCCUAAGGCGAGGACGAAAGUCGUAGUCGAUGGGAAGCAGGUUAAUAUUCCUGCACCUCGCGUAAGUGCGAUGGAGGGACGGAGAAGGUUAGGUGUACCAGGCGUUGGUUGUCCUGGGGAAAGGCGGUAGGUUUGGAUCUUUGGCAAAUCCGGGAUCCUUUAAGACCGAGCACCGAGACGAGCCUUUAUGGCGAAGUCACUGAUACCACGCUUCCAGGAAAAGCUCCUAAGCUUCAGCUUACGCAGACCGUACCGUAAACCGACACAGGUGGGUAGGAUGAGAAUUCUCAGGCGCUUGAGAGAACUCGGGUGAAGGAACUAGGCAACAUGGCACCGUAACUUCGGGAGAAGGUGCACCCUUUUUGGUGGCUCGUGCGAGCUAUAGCUGAAGAGGGUCGCAGUAACCAGGCCGCUGCGACUGUUUAUCAAAAACACAGCACUCUGCAAACACGAAAGUGGACGUAUAGGGUGUGACGCCUGCCCGGUGCUGGAAGGUUAAUUGAUGGGGUCAGCCGCAAGGCGAAGCUCUUGAUCGAAGCCCCAGUAAACGGCGGCCGUAACUAUAACGGUCCUAAGGUAGCGAAAUUCCUUGUCGGGUAAGUUCCGACCUGCACGAAUGGCGUAACGACAGCGGCGCUGUCUCCACCCGAGACUCAGUGAAAUUGAAAUCGCUGUGAAGAUGCAGCGUUCCCGUGGCAAGACGGAAAGACCCCGUGAACCUUUACUAUAGCUUUACACUGAACGUUGAGUUCGUCUGUGUAGGAUAGGUGGGAGGCUAUGAAACUGUGGCGCUAGCUGCAGUGGAGCCAUCCUUGAAAUACCACCCUGUCGUGCUUGACGUUCUAACCUGGGCCCAUUAUCUGGGUCGGGGACCGUGUAUGGUGGGUAGUUUGACUGGGGCGGUCUCCUCCUAAAGAGUAACGGAGGAGCUCGAAGGUACGCUCAGCGCGGUCGGACAUCGCGCACUGUGUGCAAAGGCAUAAGCGUGCUUGACUGCAAGAUCGACGGAUCAAGCAGGUAGGAAACUAGGACUUAGUGAUCCGGUGGUUCUGUAUGGAAGGGCCAUCGCUCAACGGAUAAAAGGUACUCCGGGGAUAACAGGCUGAUACCGCCCAAGAGUUCAUAUCGACGGCGGUGUUUGGCACCUCGAUGUCGGCUCAUCACAUCCUGGGGCUGUAGUCGGUCCCAAGGGUAUGGCUGUUCGCCAUUUAAAGUGGUACGCGAGCUGGGUUCAGAACGUCGUGAGACAGUUCGGUCCCUAUCUGCCAUGGGCGUUGGAGAUUUGAGAGGGGCUGCUCCUAGUACGAGAGGACCGGAGUGGACGAACCUCUGGUGUUCCGGUUGUCACGCCAGUGGCAUUGCCGGGUAGCUAUGUUCGGAAGCGAUAACCGCUGAAAGCAUCUAAGCGGGAAGCGCGCCUCAAGAUGAGAUCUCCCGGGGCACAAGCCCCCUGAAGGAACCAUGUAGACUACGUGGUUGAUAGGUCAGGUGUGUAAGUACAGCAAUGUAUUGAGCUAACUGAUACUAAUGAUCCGUGCGGCUUGACCAU